UCUCUCUCUAUUUUUCUCUCCUCCUGUCCUCCACUUUCAUCCAUUCCCACCACCACCAUCAGCACCGUUUUCCGCCGCCGCAACCACUACCAACAUCACAACAUCUCCAUCGCCACCAUCGAUAAAAUUUCAGAUCUUUAGGAAUGAAAGAGAGAAAACGAUCUUCAUCGGAAAUCAUUUUCAGAUUCAAAAACCAUCAACAGUUUAGCAUCAUAAUCAUCUUCUUCUUCUUGGCUUGUCGCUGAUCGAGAGAUCUGAUUUUAAGUUUCAUUUUAUGAAUAAUGGGAAGGAUUCGAAAGCAAAGACCGGUGAUAACGUUCUAAAGUCACUACUGGUGUUGUUGUAGAAGGAGAAGGGUGUUGCAGUAACUAGACCUGAUGUCUAAACAGGUGAUGGUGACAUGGAAAAGAAACUAGUAUAUUUUGUAGAGAUGAUGGGUAUCAAAAUGUUGUUAUGAGAUGUUUAUAUAUCAUUUCAGAUGGGGUGGAGGAGCAAACAGCUAAGAUCAUGAAAGCUCCAAGUUACCUCAUUGUAGAAAUGAUCUUCUGCAUCUAAAGUGCAGGUAAGUUGAACAAAUUUUGUUUUACCUUUCAGGCUGUAAAGUUUGAACAUGCAGUAUUUGCAUAUGUCCGAACUAUCACCUCCUGAAUUAGUUGUGAUAAAAAAAAAGCCAGAGGUAUAUCAUGCCUCUGUGCUUGUGAACAAACUUGUUAGUUUUUAUCCAAUUCAUGUGUGGAACAUUCUAAUAUGGAAAGAUAUUUCACCCUGGCAAAGGAAGGUUUCAGAAGCUCCCCAAUCUGAUUAACAUUAUAUUAGAUAAUCUGAUUACGAUAUGCAAGGUAAUCAAUCUUACACUGGAAUUUGGAUAUUACAUUAGUUUCAGACUAUCAUGUCUUGGUAUGAAAGAAUCUCAUCCAAUAUGCAUUGGUAGUUUAGUUUGUAAUUCUUGAAAUUCAUAUGUAGCGAGUUUAGUUUGUAAUUCUUGAACAUAUGUACAUGGUUCUGUAGAUGGGGAAAAACGAAUUGCUGGUUUUUAAGAAAUUGAGGAGAUGACCGAACGGAGGAGACUCCUCGAACCGAGCGAAAUGUUAAA
Long non-coding RNA from Papaver somniferum (opium poppy), 1093 nucleotides. RefSeq lists it as uncharacterized. NCBI's taxonomy places the organism in Eukaryota, Viridiplantae, Streptophyta, Magnoliopsida, Ranunculales, Papaveraceae. The record is from RefSeq and is a predicted model, not a curated record. The transcript has 3 exons.